Molecule: ribosomal RNA, 253 nt
Filed under: uncultured bacterium
Lineage: Bacteria
Description: partial 16S ribosomal RNA
Rfam family: Bacterial small subunit ribosomal RNA
Source: RNAcentral
UACGUAGGGGGCAAGCGUUAUCCGGAUUUACUGGGUGUAAAGGGAGCGUAGACGGCCAGACAAGUCAGAAGUGAAAGCCCAGGGCUCAACCCUGGGACUGCUUUUGAAACUGCCGGGCUGGAGUGCAGGAGAGGUAAGCGGAAUUCCUAGUGUAGCGGUGAAAUGCGUAGAUAUUAGGAGGAACACCAGUGGCGAAGGCGGCUUACUGGACUGUAACUGACGUUGAGGCUCGAAAGCGUGGGGAGCAAACAGG